AGACGAGGCAUCAUUGGAGUAAAGCACCCUUUACAAAGCACGCUCCUAAGUAUUCUCGGACUCCUGUUAUUAACACAAUAACUGGACUGUACCAUGUAAAGGUUGUCAUGGUCUUGCUGACCACGCUGACCCAGACAUAGGGCUAAACUCAUCAGGGAUCAGGCCACGUCUGAUUAUAUUUGACCAUAUCUCCAGCACAUUUUUGUUCUUCUAAUCUCAAGUUAUGUGAUGGACGUGGCAGAAAGCCUUGUGUCGUUACACACAGUGCUGGUGUUAUCGAUACUCCCCGGGACACACAGGAUGAAAAAUACAAACACAGAACAGAUUUGUUUUCAGCAGCUGUUCCCAAAAGCUGAGGAAAGAGCAGAGGCAGGAUCCUGCCUGAAGAUGGCACUCUUCCAUUCUGGGGAAUGAGCAACGUCACCCUUAGAAGUGGCCUCUUCAAAGCCAAGUUGGAAUAAGCCUGUGGGGUGGAGAACCCUGGGCUGCCUUCAAUCUGAACCCUUUCCCUUGAGCACCAGGGUCACGUCAGGAAACGCUUCCCUCGUGGUGCAACCGAGGGCACCCAGGCAGUUUCCCAAAGUCUGGGGCACACGGGACUAGUUGUCGGGGGAAGGGACAGACAGGCCUUUGAAUUGUUCUCCAGCAUCUCAGCCCCCGAGACACAUUGGCCACUGAUCGUCCAUGGGACCCCAUCGCAGGUUACAUGGAGCUACUCCUGUGGUUCUCAUUCCUACUCAGAUUGUGGUCACCAUCUACCCAGCUACAGGUGUAUGGAAGGGUGAGUCACAUGCCCCUCACUGUAUGUGUAUAAUGAAGAGGACAGGUCAUUGAUACAAAGCAAUGUGGAUGGCUUGGUAUCUGGGCCCAAGCAAACAAUAUGUGUUUCAAUACCGCUAAAUGUAAAUGUAUCUGUCUAGGAACAAAGAAUGCAGGACACACUGACAGGAUGGGCAACUAACCUGGGAAGCAGUGACUCUGAAAAAGAUUUGGAGGUCAUGGUGGAUAAUCGGUGGAUAAUGAGCUCCCAGUGUACAGCUAUGAUCAA
Long non-coding RNA from Trachemys scripta elegans, 1048 nucleotides. RefSeq lists it as uncharacterized. NCBI's taxonomy places the organism in Eukaryota, Metazoa, Chordata, Testudines, Emydidae. The record is from RefSeq and is a predicted model, not a curated record. The transcript has 3 exons.